Molecule: ribosomal RNA, 318 nt
Filed under: [Pasteurella] aerogenes
Lineage: Bacteria; Pseudomonadati; Pseudomonadota; Gammaproteobacteria; Pasteurellales; Pasteurellaceae
Description: bacterial LSU rRNA
Rfam family: Bacterial large subunit ribosomal RNA
Source: RNAcentral
AAUGGGGGAACCCGAUGGAUGAAGAAUCCAUCAUUCUUAAAUGAAUACAUAGUUUAAGAAAGCGAACCGGGAGAACUGAAACAUCUAAGUACCCCGAGGAAAAGAAAUCAACCGAGAUUUUGUGAGUAGCGGCGAGCGAAAGCGAAGGAGCCUGCAAGUGAUAGCGACAGAGAUAGAGGAAGCAAUUGGGAAAUUGCGCGAUACAGGGUGAUAGCCCCGUACUUGAAAUCCAUGUUGUGGUACUAAGCUUGCGAGAAGUAGGGCGGGACACGAGAAAUCCUGUUUGAAGAAGGGGGGACCAUCCUCCAAGGCUAAAUA